GAUCCUGGGUAUGACUAAGCAUGCAGUCGUGCGCUCUCAAGCUAUGUUGAGGGCGCGGCGAACGGCUCCGUAACACGUAGUUAACCUACCCUCGGGAUGGGGAUAACCCCGGGAAACUGGGAUUAAUACCCACUAGAUGAUUAUGCCUGGAAUGGCUUAUCAUCGAAAGAGCCUGGAAACAUGCUUCCAGCUUCGCCCGAGGAUGGGACUGCGUCCGAUCAGGUUGUUGGCGGGGUAACGGCCCACCAAGCCUAUAACCGGUACGGGCCCUGAGAGGGGGAGCCCGGAGAUGGAAACUGAGAAAAGGUUCCAGGCCCUACGGGGUGCAGCAGGCGCGAAACCUCCACAAUGCGCGAAAGCGUGAUGGGGUUAUCCCGAGUGCCGUCCGAUGAGGAUGGCUUUUCAUCGGUGUAAGGAUCCGAUGGAAUAAAGGGGGGGCAAGUCUGGUGUCAGCCGCCGCGGUAAUACCAGCUCUCCGAGUGGUAGGGACGAUUAUUGGGCUUAAAGCGUCCGUAGCCGGCUCAGCAAGUCUUCCGUUAAAUCCAGCGAUUCAAUCGUUGGACUGCGGAAGAUACUGUUGGGCUAGGGGACGGGAGAGGCCGACGGUAUUUCCAGAGUAGGGGUGAAAUCCUGUAAUUCUGGGAGGACCACCAGUGGCGAAGGCUGUCGGCUAGAACGAGCUCGACGGUGAGGGACGAAAGCUGGGGGAGCGAACCGGAUUAGAUACCCGGGUAGUCCCAGCUGUAAACGAUGCGGGCUAGGUGUUAGGGUGGCCACGAGCCACUCUAGUGCCGCAGCGAAGGCGUUAAGCCCGCCGCCUGGGGAGUACGGCCGCAAGGCUGAAACUUAAAGGAAUUGGCGGGGGAGCACCACAAGGCGUGAAGCGUGCGGUUUAAUUGGAGUCAACGCCGGG
Molecule: ribosomal RNA, 913 nt
Filed under: uncultured archaeon
Lineage: Archaea
Description: bacterial SSU rRNA
Rfam family: Archaeal small subunit ribosomal RNA
Source: RNAcentral